CUCCCAGGGAGGAGGUGGGCAUACUCAGAUAUGUCCCUCAGGGAGGAGGUGGACACACUCAGGUGUGUCCCCCAGGGAGGAGGUGGGCACGCUCAGGUGUGUCCCCCGGGGAGGAGGUGGGCACCCUCAGGUAUGUCCCCCGGGGAGGAGGUGGGCAUACUUAGGCGUGUCCCCCAGGGAGGAGGUGGGCAUACUUAGGCGUGUCCCCCGGGGAGGAGGUGGGCAUACUUAGGCGUGUCCCCCGGGGAGGAGGUGGACAUACUUAGGCGUGUCCCCCGGGGAGGAGGUGGGCAUGCUCAGGCGUGUCCCCUGGGGAGGGGGUGGACAUGCUCAGGUGUGUCCCUCAGCAGUGAGGCGUGCAUGCUCAGAUGUGCCCUCUCCAGAGGAGGGGAGUGUGGGAGACACGUCCACUGCUGGCCUCCUGUCCCCUCGUUCCAGCCUGAGGCCUUCUCUGGGCGCUCCCCUGUUGGUGACUGGAAUUAACUUGCUCCUCUGCUGCCUUCCUGUAAGGGCUUUUU
Molecule: long non-coding RNA, 518 nt
Organism: Sapajus apella (tufted capuchin)
Lineage: Eukaryota; Metazoa; Chordata; Mammalia; Primates; Cebidae
Exons: 2
Source: RefSeq, a predicted model, not a curated record